RNAcentral lists this ribosomal RNA (253 nucleotides) under uncultured prokaryote. Its description in RNAcentral is "partial 16S ribosomal RNA". It matches the Rfam family "Bacterial small subunit ribosomal RNA", at positions 524 to 776 of the family's 1533-position model. The record is from RNAcentral.
UACGUAGGGUGCGAGCGUUGCCCGGAUUUAUUGGGCGUAAAGGGCGCGCAGGCGGUGGUGUGCGUCGCAGGUGAAAGCUCCCGGCUCAACUGGGAGAGGGCCUGCGAUACGGCAUCACUGGAGCAAGGUAGGGGGCAGUGGAAUUCCCGGUGUAGUGGUGGAAUGCGUAGAGAUCGGGAGGAACACCAGUGGCGAAGGCGGCUGCCUGGACCUGUGCUGACGCUGAGGCGCGAAAGCGUGGGGAGCGAUCCGG